UAAAGCUAACAGCUAAUGCUGAAAAAAAAACAAAAUCAAUCAAUUUUUGCAGCACAUUGUUCAAGUUAUUUCUGAGUUAUCAAUAUUACAUUGCAUUCAAUAUUCAGCUCAUAAUAACUAACUAUGCAAGUGCUAUUUUUCAUUUUGCUACCAUUAAAAUUCCAAUUUUACUUCUAAUUAUAGAAAAUUCAUUUCGACCUUGCAUCUUAUUGUGUAUCAAUUAACAGUUUUGCAAAAGGAACGGAAGGUUUGGGUAAUGCUGGUCACAAAAUUUACAAUCAAUCUAAUUCAAAAACGUGUUUUAUUUUGGAAGGAACUUUUGCAGCAUGAAAAAUUCUGCAACAACCAAUUUCAACAGUUUUGAUGCAUUUUUUGCAUAGAAACUUCUAGGCCGUAAACUAAAAUUAACUUGAUUAGGAUUUCCAAAAACAAGUUAUUGUAUUCAAUUUUUGUAUUAAUCAUUAUCUUUUUGAUAUUCUCUUUUUUCAACGAUCUUUUAUUGAAGUUAAUCUGUUUAAUCUGUAUUUGUUCAUUUCAGUUAUGUCAUAGCUUUAUUCACUUCUUUUAGCUUGAACUUAAAAUUUGCACCUAUCUCAGCCCACAAUUUGUUUCAAUGAUUUUAUAUUUACCUGUAACGUUUUCCCCUUUUUGAAACAGUAAUUAUCGGCUCAACCAUCAACUCAAAAAAUUUCCCAAAGAGCAGUGUCCAAAUGGAAGCUAGCUCAUCGUCUCAUGGAGUUCCGCCUACAGAGAACUUGAGCAUUCAAGAUGUCUGGCCAAAGCUUCUUGAAACUCUCAAGGUUGUCCCAGGCCCCCCUGACGCAGUUGAGCAAAUCAACCCCUUCACGAAAUGUGUUCUCAGCCAUCAAAAAGUAAUAAAAAACUUGAUGUUGAGCGAUGUCAAGGGACUUCUUGUGAGGGGACAAAAGUCGGAAAAAGCCACAGAUACUCAGCCAGAAAAACACAGUCACGCAUGUGUUCUGGUACCUGGCCCAAGUUUCCAGAAAAUUAUCAUAAUAAAAACGAUCAGCGAUGUUUCUAAGCAAAACUCCGUUGAAUUAGUUAUCAAUUCGCUGAAAGACCAAUUUCUAGCGUUAGAAGAACAAUACAGUCUCACGAAAGAGGACAUGGUUCUUGUUUUUUGGGCGGAAAAAAAUAUUAAGGAUUGUAAACAAGCUCUCGAACCUGCUUGUAAAAAAGCUCUCAAACAAUCUUGCUUCCCGAAAUUAUGGGAUUUUAUAAAAGACAGAAAUCAACUCGCUCCAAUUAUAUACGACACUGCGUCACAAAACCGGAACUCUGCAGGAAUUUCUCUAUUUGUGAAAAGUCAGAAAAAGGUAACCAAGCAAACGUUGUACCAAAUAACUUCCAAAAAGUUUUUAUGUGGUGGCAACGAUAAAUGUACUUUCAAUAAUAAAGACGAAACUCACCGAGUUUAUGAGAUUUAUUUCUCGGAGUGCAGAGACAAACUUGUUUUUGUUCCGGAUAUUGACAAAAUUUGUGAUAGUUUGUUAUACAAAACAACGGACGACGGUGAAUUGCCGAAAAUAAGUGAGUGGGGAUCUUAUUACGGCGAGGUCACUCUUUUCAUUCAAAAGUACCUAUCGCAGCUAGAGUCACCCAGCGGAAUUAUGUUGAAAAACUAUAGCAGCAAACACUUCGAAACAGUGUUGGAUGAAAACUCAGAGUUACCUGGUGAGUUUGAAACCGAUUGGCUGUAUUUGGGAAAAAACAAAAUAACAGCAAUCGAAAUUGGGCUAUCAGAAAGCAGAGAAAAUAACAAAACCGCCAUUCAAAACAAAAUUCGCCAGGUUUUGACGAAAACAGUGCCACAUUUUCAGCUUGUCAUCUACUCGCUUUGUAUGUUAUUUGAUGAAAAACUUGGCGAAUCAAAGUUCAGAACAAUACUUGGACAUAAUUUCUCAAUGCUAAUUAUCUUCCCAAAUAUAUCAAAGGAGAAAUUCGAAGAAUUCUUAGCAGGUGAGAUAAUGAAUGAAACGAAAGAUCUCAUAAAAUUUAAUGAAAAUGUUCUGGGAUGCCUCAAAUUCGUCUUCGAAGCAGAUUUGAAUCAGAAUUCAUCAAAUCAACAGAACUUACCGAACAAAGUGACUUCCAGUUUGUUCAAAUUGAGUAAAAACCUCACAUUAGAAAAGCUCAGUACUCCCUUUUCGACCAUCUUCAGUUGCGAUAAAUCAACAAAUUGUGAAUUUCUGCCUGAUAUAAACUCAGUUUUGGCACUCUCGAGCUUGAACUUCCUCAAUUUUGUUUCGAAAGAAAAGUGCGACACAACUGACAUAGAUGAUCGAUAUAGGCAAUCGCAAUCCUUCGCAUUGUGGCGAAAGAAAAAAGAAACUCUAACAUACAAUGAGACUGAUUUCAUUUUGAGUCCAGAGCAGCACGCAAUUUUAGCCAAUAACAGCGACGAAAUGAAACGCGUACUUUUUGUCGGUGAAGCAGGAUGCGGGAAGACAUCACUUCUACUAGCAAAAUGCCACAUAUUAGCGGAAAGAAAAGAAGUUGAUCAAAUUUUGUAUUUCGUGCCUGAGAACAGAACAAUGUUCUUUGAAAAACUAAAAAAAAUAAUUCAGCAGUGUGGCAGUGAAGCAGUUAGGAAGAUUUUGACAGUAAAGCGCAAAAAGUCUAACGAAAAUGAUUGGAUGCCCCUCAAGAAAUUGCUAUGGAGGAGUAAGAAGACCUAUGCAAUAAUGUUGGACGAAUUUGAUGCCCUUAGUUUUUUGUUGUUCAUCCACACAAUAGUUGCUCUAAACGCCAAAUAUAUUUGGGUUGCUCAGACUAUCUUCACAACUAAAGAUGCAGCUGAUGCUUGU
Long non-coding RNA from Symsagittifera roscoffensis, 2828 nucleotides. RefSeq lists it as uncharacterized. Lineage: Eukaryota; Metazoa; Xenacoelomorpha; Acoela; Convolutidae. The transcript is spliced from 3 exons. The record is from RefSeq and is a predicted model, not a curated record.